UUCCGGUUGAUCCUGCCAGACCUGACUGCUAUCGGAUUGAUACUAAGCCAUGCGAGUCAUUGUAGCAAUACAAGGCAGACGGCUCAGUAACGCGUAGUCAACCUAACCUAUGGACGGGAAUAACCUCGGGAAACUGAGAAUAAUGCCCGAUAGAACACUAUAUCUGGAAUGGUUUGUGUUCCAAAUGAUUUAUCGCCGUAGGAUGGGACUGCGGCCUAUCAGUUUGUUGGUGAGGUAAUGGCCCACCAAGACUAUUACAGGUACGGGCUCUGAGAGGAGUAGCCCGGAGAUGGGUACUGAGACACGGACCCAGGCCCUAUGGGGCGCAGCAGGCGAGAAAACUUUGCAAUGUGCGAAAGCACGACAAGGUUAAUCCGAGUGGUUUGUGCUAAACGAACCUUUUGUCGGUCCUAGAAACACCGAUGAAUAAGGGGUGGGCAAGUUCUGGUGUCAGCCGCCGCGGUAAAACCAGCACCUCAAGUGGUCAGGAUGAUUAUUGGGCCUAAAGCAUCCGUAGCCGGCGCUAUAAGUUUUCGGUUAAAUCUGUACGCUCAACGUACAGGCUGCCGGGAAUACUGUAGCGCUAGGGAGUGGGAGAGGUAGACGGUACUCGGUAGGAAGGGGUAAAAUCCUUUGAUCUAUUGAUGACCACCUGUGGCGAAGGCGGUCUACCAGAACACGUCCGACGGUGAGGGAUGAAAGCUGGGGGAGCAAACCGGAUUAGAUACCCGGGUAGUCCCAGCUGUAAACUAUGCAAACUCAGUGAUGCAUUGGCUUGUGGCCAAUGCAGUGCUGCAGGGAAGCCGUUAAGUUUGCCGCCUGGGAAGUACGUACGCAAGUAUGAAACUUAAAGGAAUUGGCGGGGGAGCACCACAAGGGGUGAAGCCUGCGGUUCAAUUGGAUUCAACGCCGGA
This 914-nucleotide ribosomal RNA is filed under the name uncultured Nitrososphaerota archaeon. RNAcentral's name for it is "bacterial SSU rRNA". It matches the Rfam family "Archaeal small subunit ribosomal RNA", at positions 1 to 922 of the family's 1478-position model. Lineage: Archaea; Thermoproteati; Nitrososphaerota. The record is from RNAcentral.